Molecule: long non-coding RNA, 1378 nt
Filed under: Cairina moschata (Muscovy duck)
Lineage: Eukaryota; Metazoa; Chordata; Aves; Anseriformes; Anatidae
Description: domestica (muscovy Duck (domestic type)) lncRNA (ENSCMMG00000007121.1)
Source: RNAcentral
GGCAACCUCGGGGCUUGCCAGUGUUGUCUGAAGCUGUUCUGGGAAGGAUGCAAGCAGGAAGCUCUCCUUUUAUGCCCCAGGGGAGUGGCAGGGAUGGGGAGCUCAUUAUUCCCACCUCAUUGACAGCCAGGAAGAGCCCAGAACGGUGAGGAGGGGCCCUGCUGCUCUGCAUCAGGGCUGCACCCAGUCCUUUGUUGGGGAAUGCAUUAUGCUCCAAAUUUCCUCCUGUUUUCUGACCUUGGGUGUUACGAGAAGCCGUAAUCCUCUGGUUAUCAGCUGAGUCAGCUGCUCGCCUGCAGCUCAGUGAUAGGGGAAGCCCGGGUUUUCGGACUGCGAGGAUGCGAUGGUAUCAAGGCGCUCUUUGUGGGAAGCAUGGGGUGUGCCACCCCCUUUGUCCACCUCUUCCUGCCCAUCCCUGGGGUGAUUUAUGGCUUGAGACACAUCCCACAGCCCGUGGUGCUGCAGGGAGCCCGGGCUGGGUGACAGGAAAGUGCCUGGGCUGCAGGGAAGCCAGGCAGGGUGGCACCCAUAUCCCAGCACAGGGGAGGGGGUCAGUGAGGCUCCGAGGCAGCUUUUACACCCAGGGGGCUCCUGGCAGAGAGCAGGCAGAGUUUCCCAGCUCUUCCCACCCCUUGCAGACACACCGAGGGCAUGCACACACACACACAUCAGUGUCCUGGGCUCCCCAGAGUCACAGCACCCUGGGAAGGGUCCGCAUGAACAGGGUGUGGGCUGGCAGCCGGUGUCCCCCCUGUGCUCCUGCAUCUGCGAGGUGGUGACUGUGCUGCUGAAAGGGAAUUUAGGACAGGUUUGGAUUCACUCCUGUCCCAGCACAACGCCCGUGGCCGUGUGUUUGCCUGGUCACCACCGCUGGCUGCUGGUGCUUGGGGAGGUCAGAGCCGGGGUUUUGGGCAGCGUCAGCACCAGCAGAGCCCGGGGCGGCUCCGUGCAGCUCCCGGUGGUGCCGCUGGAAGCAGAGGCUGAGCCUUUGCCUGGGCAAGCAAACGCGUCUGACUCAGCCACGGCGGGGAUGCUCAACGUGCCUGCCCGAACCUGUCCCUCAGCAGGGAACGAAACACCAAGAUCUUCCCUUCACCCUUCCUCCAGUUCCCUUCCCAGCACGUUUUCUGGAGGUGACACGCGUUGGCUCAGCCAAAAGCCUUCAGCCAAGUCCGGGCCUGCUGGGCUGCUCUGCUCCCUGGGCUCCUGCGAGUCCCUGAGCUCGUCCCCAGCCCCGGGACCUCAGAUCUCAGCCAGCAGCUGGGGGGCAGAGAGGCACCACGGAGAGGCAGGGGGCUGCCCGGUGUGGGGCAAUCCUUGGACUGACCAUGGCAAAAAUUUCCAGCCCCUACUGGGAUACGUGUGGUGGUGGCACAAG